RNAcentral lists this ribosomal RNA (255 nucleotides) under uncultured bacterium. RNAcentral describes it as "partial 16S ribosomal RNA". It matches the Rfam family "Bacterial small subunit ribosomal RNA", at positions 524 to 776 of the family's 1533-position model. The record is from RNAcentral.
UACGGGGGGAGCAAGCGUUGUUCGGAUUUACUGGGCGUAAAGGGCGCAUAGGCGGCCACCGCAAGUCGACUGUGAAAUCUCCGGGCUUAACCCGGAAAGGUCAGCCGAUACUGCGGGGCUAGAGUGCAGAAGGGGCAACUGGAAUUCUCGGUGUAGCGGUGAAAUGCGUAGAUAUCGAGAGGAACACCUGCGGCGAAGGCGGGUUGCUGGGCUGACACGUGACGCUGAGGCGCGAAAGCUAGGGGAGCGAACGGG